CCUACGGGAGGCAGCAGUGGGGAAUAUUGGACAAUGGGGGCAACCCUGAUCCAGCCAUGCCGCGUGUGUGAAGAAGGCCCUCGGGUUGUAAAGCACUUUCAGUGAGGAAGAACGCCUGGUGGUUAAUACCCAUCAGGAAAGACAUCACUCACAGAAGAAGCACCGGCUAACUCCGUGCCAACAGCCGCGGUAAUACGGAGGGUGCGAGCGUUAAUCGGAAUUACUGGGCGUAAAGCGCGCGUAGGUGGCUUGAUAAGCCGGUUGUGAAAGCCCCGGGCUCAACCUGGGAACGGCAUCCGGAACUGUCAAGCUAGAGUGCAGGAGAGGAAGGUAGAAUUCCCGGUGUAGCGGUGAAAUGCGUAGAGAUCGGGAGGAAUACCAGUGGCGAAGGCGGCCUUCUGGACUGACACUGACACUGAGGUGCGAAAGCGUGGGUAGCAAACAGGAUUAGAUACCCGAGUAUC
RNAcentral lists this ribosomal RNA (464 nucleotides) under Vreelandella stevensii. Its description in RNAcentral is "partial 16S ribosomal RNA". It matches the Rfam family "Bacterial small subunit ribosomal RNA", at positions 338 to 794 of the family's 1533-position model. The record is from RNAcentral. Lineage: Bacteria; Pseudomonadati; Pseudomonadota; Gammaproteobacteria; Oceanospirillales; Halomonadaceae.